RNAcentral lists this non-coding RNA (21 nucleotides) under Caenorhabditis elegans. Lineage: Eukaryota; Metazoa; Nematoda; Chromadorea; Rhabditida; Rhabditidae. The record is from RNAcentral.
UUUGUAGGAAAUUAUAACAUU